This 466-nucleotide ribosomal RNA is filed under the name uncultured bacterium. Its description in RNAcentral is "partial 16S ribosomal RNA". It matches the Rfam family "Bacterial small subunit ribosomal RNA", at positions 28 to 507 of the family's 1533-position model. The record is from RNAcentral.
GACGAACGCUGGCGGCGUGCUUAACACAUGCAAGUCGAACGGAAAGGCCCUGCUUUUGUGGGGUGCUCGAGUGGCGAACGGGUGAGUAACACGUGAGUAACCUGCCCUUGACUUUGGGAUAACUUCAGGAAACUGGGCUAAUACCGGAUAGGAGCUCCUGCUGCAUGGUGGGGGUUGGAAAGUUCGGCGGUUGGGGAUGGACUCGCGGCUUAUCAGCUUGUUGGUGGGGUAGUGGCUUACCAAGGCUUUGACGGGUAGCCGGCCUGAGAGGGUGACCGGCCACAUUGGGACUGAGAUACGGCCCAGACUCCUACGGGAGGCAGCAGUGGGGAAUAUUGCACAAUGGGCGGAAGCCUGAUGCAGCAACGCCGCGUGCGGGAUGACGGCCUUCGGGUUGUAAACCGCUUUCGCCUGUGACGAAGCGUGAGUGACGGUAAUGGGUAAAGAAGCACCGGCUAACUACGUG